This 258-nucleotide ribosomal RNA is filed under the name uncultured bacterium. RNAcentral describes it as "partial 16S ribosomal RNA". It matches the Rfam family "Bacterial small subunit ribosomal RNA", at positions 94 to 354 of the family's 1533-position model. The record is from RNAcentral.
AGUGGCGGACGGGUGAGUAACGCGUGGGUAACCUGCCUCACACAGGGGGAGUAACAGUUGGAACGACGCUAAUACCGCAUAACCGCUGGUAUCGCAUGAUACUGACGGAAAAGAUUUAUCGGUGUGAGAUGGACCCGCGUCUGAUUAGCCAGUUGGCAGGGUAACGGCCUACCAAAGCGACGAUCAGUAGCCGGCCUGAGAGGGUGAACGGCCACAUUGGGACUGAGACACGGCCCAAACUCCUACGGAAGGCAGCAG